UAGAUUUCCAUACGACAAAUAUUAUUGAAGACCCAAUUCAAAAUCCUCACAGCUCGAACUCAAAGAAACCAUGAAAACAGUGAUUCUUACUCCAAACUCCUCGGUAAAAUCCAGCACCACAACAGUCGGAGUAGGCAGCAGAGAUAAUUCUUAUUAUCCGGGAUGCAAAAAAGACGCCAAUUGCAACUGCGAAAUGUGUAUUGCAAGCUUCAACGCCACUCUUGAUUUGAUGCCGCAGACUGCUCAGAGGAGUUCGCUCACAAACCUCUCCGUUUCAAGGCCCAAAAUUCGGAGAAGCCCUGUCCCUCUCGAGGAGCCCUACGAAUUCUCAGCAAAAGAGAAAAGGGGAAUUCAAGUGCGAGGGUUUCCUUGUGCGGUUACUUUUUGGCUUGAUUGUUGUUUUCGGCUUGGAGUUCGGAUUUUCAUGGAUGAUUUCAGGGGGUUUAAAAAGUCAAUUAUCGCCGGAAUUGGUGGAUAAUAUGGCUAGAAAUUCAUGGGUUCACGAGGAUCUGAAUGGGAAAUUUAUGUUCUUUAAGAAUGAACUGGAAGGGUUUGUGGGAAUUAGGGUUUCAACCUGCAAUUCUGCUAAUUCUGUGUGGAAAAUCAGUCAGAUGAAGUUCUGAGAUUCUUAGUUGUAUGGCGACAUGGAUCUUAGGAUGAUUUGUUGCUGAAUUCGCGGUGCGUGUUGUAUAAAUCAAUGGCAGAAGAGGUAAGCAUUUGGGGAUGGCCAUUGCAGACUGCUGGAUUGCUUACUGCAGAAUAUUAUUCAAGAUCAUUCAGCAUUAUAAACGGAAGAGUUACUGAGUGGUCUGAUGGCAAAGCCAGUUAUUUUGAACGGAGAGAAAAUAGUUCGUGGGUGCAAGAAAAAUGGAGUUCCUCUGUCGUACAGUUUGAUCCUAACACGUGGCUUCUGGAGUACAGACAGAGCUUUCUCCUGCAAAACGCAAGGCCGGUUUCUGCUACUCUUAAGUUCUUGAAGUUGAGGCUGACAAGAGAUUUUGGAAAGAUGUACCAAGUAUUCUGGCUACGAUAUGCUAGUUUUGGUGGUCGUUGGGAGUUUAGAAGGCGGCCCAGACGAACCACCCUGGUACCUACUUAAGUGUAGAAUGUCUUAAACAAUACUCAUUACUGAUGAGAAGCUUUGUAUCAUUGGAGAUGUAGCAAUUUCUUCGUUGUAGAAGAAAUAGGAUUCUGGUCUUGUCCAUAUAUGGUGGUUAACAACAAUGAUGUAGAGGUUUAUUCUUCUCAA
Molecule: RNA transcript, 1249 nt
Organism: Salvia splendens (bonfire salvia)
Lineage: Eukaryota; Viridiplantae; Streptophyta; Magnoliopsida; Lamiales; Lamiaceae
Exons: 3
Source: RefSeq, a predicted model, not a curated record